RNAcentral lists this ribosomal RNA (270 nucleotides) under uncultured archaeon. Its description in RNAcentral is "partial 16S ribosomal RNA". It matches the Rfam family "Archaeal small subunit ribosomal RNA", at positions 477 to 747 of the family's 1478-position model. The record is from RNAcentral.
CAGCAGCCCGAGUGGUGGUCGUUUUUAUUGGGCCUAAAGCGUCCGUAGCCGGUCUAGUAAAUCCUUGGAUAAAUCGUACAGCUUAAAUGUACGGCUCCCGGGGAGACUGCUAGACUUGGGACUGGGAGAGGUCGGAGGUACUCCAGGGGUAGGGGUGAAAUCUUGUAAUCCUUGGGGGACCACCAGUGGCGAAGGCGUCCGACUAGAACGGGUCCGACGGUAAGGGACGAAGCCCUGGGGCGCGAACCGGAUUAGAUACCCGAGUAGUCC